UUAGGUUUAUACAUUUUAAACCGUCUGUUAAGCUGAAUGUCAUAACUACCUAACCAAACGAUUCCAAUUUCCACCUAAUCAAUUUAGAUUGAAUUGGUUACUUAGCUUUCUUUUAAGAUAAUUAGCACCUACAUUAAUAGGGCUUGACAAGGGCUAUGAAAAGACUAUGAAAAACAGAAAAAAAAGUCUGUCUUAUCAGGUAUUGUUUUUCUUUUUUUUAGCUUUCUGUGUAAACAGAAUGAUUGAUAAUGGUAUCUAAUUUCUUUUAGUGUGUAUAUGUUGGUAAAAUGAUUCCUAUCUAUCCUUUUCAAUGAUGUAUUUUUAUAAUUAAUAAUUAUUUAUAAAACAUAUCAUUAAUUCUAAUAUUUGAUUAGAAUUUUUAAUUAAUUCAAUAAUUUUGAUGGUGCUCAGUAACCAGAGUAGCAUACUUAUUUUGUUUACUAUUAUUUUGAUGUAGAGUAUUUAGACAACUUUUGACCUAAUGAUCAGCAUUUGAUAUGAUAAGCUAAUUUCAUGGUUUGUGUUAAACUUUUUUAUUAUGCUCAUUAAUUUGUUUCAGGCAGUAUUUAAGUUAGAAAAUCAGACACAAGAAUGUAAUUUCUUUGAAUAAGUAUACCAUUUUUUGUUGGAUUUGAACUUCAAGAUGUGAGAAUUAACUGGGACCUAGACGAUAUGGUCCCAAAACUCCAGUUAGCAG
Long non-coding RNA from Parasteatoda tepidariorum (common house spider), 697 nucleotides. RefSeq lists it as uncharacterized. NCBI's taxonomy places the organism in Eukaryota, Metazoa, Arthropoda, Arachnida, Araneae, Theridiidae. The record is from RefSeq and is a predicted model, not a curated record.